Molecule: long non-coding RNA, 848 nt
Organism: Anopheles coluzzii
Lineage: Eukaryota; Metazoa; Arthropoda; Insecta; Diptera; Culicidae
Exons: 2
Source: RefSeq, a predicted model, not a curated record
ACAAAGAGCAUUUGCACAACAAACUGCCCAUCUCUUUUAGUAAACAACGUUGCGAACAAGUUGUCACAGCAGCUAAUAAGCCGCCCCGUAAUUUAAUAGCGUCCGAUCUUAAUCUUAUUACAUCGCAAGUACGAGAGAUCAAGCUCGGACAAAAUGGACCAACCUACUCGAGCGAGUGGGAUGUAAUGAACCAAACCGUUCAUUUGUUCUUGUUGUUUAUUCCCCUUUUUACUUACGGGACUGGUCCUGGUACCAUCUAUUGCUUCGUAUUCUUGCUCGGAUUAUGUGUAUUGGAACAAGUUCUACCACCCUAUCCCUCCGAACCCUUCUCACAGGAAGCUGUCGGAUGCUGAGAUUUGGUAUAUAAACUCCCGCACCGUCCACGGUUUGGCAUCAGUUUUUGUGCAACUUCCAGAAGCGAACCAAACCUCAAAACCCCACAUCUCAAAAUGUUCAAAUACGUUAUCGUUCUGCUGGCUCUGAUUGCCGCCGUGCUUGCCGCGCCGAAGCCUCAGUAUCUGCUCGCACCGGCCUCGUACAGCUAUAGCGAGAGCUACCGUCAGCCAGCGGCGGCUACGGUGUACUCCAGCGGAGCCUACAUUCCGACCGCUUACACCACUUCAUAUGCCGCUCCGGCCGUAUACAGCGCACCCUAUCCGGCCGCUUAUGUGUACUAGAACCUGGAACCGAAGCUUACCGUCUGAUCGAUAACGAACCACAGCGAGAAAGGGAAGAGAUCUCCGAACCGGAUGCACUAGCGGACCCAAGUGCGCACCAUACACGCUAAGUCACAUUCAACAACACCUCACAAAAAAUGUAAUAAAAAGCUUCUUUUUGGUCGAAAAAAA